RNAcentral lists this unclassified non-coding RNA (72 nucleotides) under Candidatus Kentrum sp. TC. The record is from RNAcentral. Lineage: Bacteria; Pseudomonadati; Pseudomonadota; Gammaproteobacteria.
UCGAUCCGUGUGCGGGAGAAUCGUACGCACGAUUCGGAGGGAGGGGCGGGGAAACCUGUCCUUAUCCCUGAU